This 74-nucleotide transfer RNA is filed under the name Asticcacaulis sp. RNAcentral describes it as "tRNA-Cys". It matches the Rfam family "tRNA". Rfam says of the family: Transfer RNA (tRNA) molecules are approximately 80 nucleotides in length. Lineage: Bacteria; Pseudomonadati; Pseudomonadota; Alphaproteobacteria; Caulobacterales; Caulobacteraceae. RNAcentral also lists the same sequence under 1 other name. The record is from RNAcentral.
GGCCUGAUGGCGGAGCGGUUACGCAGCGGAUUGCAAAUCCGUGAAGCCGAGUUCGACUCUCGGUCAGGCCUCCA